GACGUACCACCCAAACGUUAUUCGGAUUCACUGGGCUUACAGAGUCCGUAGGCGGUCAAGAAAGUUAGGCGUGAAAUCCCUCAGCUCAACUGAGGAAUAGCGCUUAAAACUACUUGGCUAGAGAGGGUCAGAGGUGAGCGGAACUGAUGGUGGGGCGGUGAAAUGCGUUGAUAUCAUCAGGAACACCGGUGGCGAAAGCGACGCUCUGGUCCAUUACUGACGCUGAGGUGCGAAAGCCAGGGGAGCAAACGGG
RNAcentral lists this ribosomal RNA (253 nucleotides) under uncultured bacterium. RNAcentral describes it as "partial 16S ribosomal RNA". It matches the Rfam family "Bacterial small subunit ribosomal RNA", at positions 524 to 776 of the family's 1533-position model. The record is from RNAcentral.